UAGGGAAUAUUGGUCAAUGGAUGCAAGUCUGAACCAGCCAUGCCGCGUGCAGGAAGAAGGCCUUCUGGGUUGUAAACUGCUUUUGCCGGGGGAUAAAAAUCCCAUGCGUGGGAACUUGAAGGUACCCGGUGAAUAAGCCACGGCUAACUACGUGCCAGCAGCCGCGGUAAUACGUAGGUGGCAAGCGUUGUCCGGAUUUAUUGGGUUUAAAGGGUGCGUAGGCGGUUAUAUAAGUCAGUGCUGAAAUAUCCCGGCUUAACCGGGAGGGUGGCAUUGAUACUGUAUGACUUGAGUAAAGUUGAGGUUGGCGGAAUUGACGGUGUAGCGGUGAAAUGCUUAGAUAUCGUCAAGAACACCGAUAGUGAAGACAGCUAACUAAGCUUUAACUGACGCUGAGGCACGAAAGUGUGGGGAUCAAACAGG
Molecule: ribosomal RNA, 423 nt
Filed under: uncultured bacterium
Lineage: Bacteria
Description: bacterial SSU rRNA
Rfam family: Bacterial small subunit ribosomal RNA
Source: RNAcentral